UACCAGCUCUCCGAGUGGUAGGGAUGAUUAUUGGGCUUAAAGCGUCCGUAGCCGGCUUAGCAAGUUUCCUGUUAAAUUCAGCGACCUAAUCGUUGAGCCGCGGGAAAUACUACUAGGCUAGGAGGCGGGAGAGGUCGACGGUACUUCUGGGGUAGGGGUGAAAUCCUAUAAUCCCGGGAGGACCACCAGUGGCGAAGGCUGUCGACUAGAACGCGCUCUACGGUGAGGGACGAAAGCUGGGGGAGCGAACCGGAUUAGAUACCCGGGUAGUCCCAGCUGUAAACGAUGCGGGCUAGGUGUUGGGGUGGCUACGUGCCACUUCAGUGCCGCAGGGAAGCCAUUAAGCCCGCCGCCUGGGGAGUACGGCCGCAAGGCUGAAACUUAAGGGAAUUGGCGGGGGAGCACCACAAGGCGUGAAGCUUGCGGUUC
This 429-nucleotide ribosomal RNA is filed under the name uncultured archaeon. RNAcentral describes it as "bacterial SSU rRNA". It matches the Rfam family "Archaeal small subunit ribosomal RNA", at positions 474 to 903 of the family's 1478-position model. The record is from RNAcentral.